Molecule: ribosomal RNA, 242 nt
Filed under: uncultured bacterium
Lineage: Bacteria
Description: partial 16S ribosomal RNA
Rfam family: Bacterial small subunit ribosomal RNA
Source: RNAcentral
GAUCAUGGCUCAGGAUGAACGCUGGCGGCGUGCUUAACACAUGCAAGUCGAACGAAACACCUUAUUUGAUUUUCUUCGGAACUGAAGAUUUGGUGAUUGAGUGGCGGACGGGGUGAGUAACGCGUGGGUGACCUACCCUGUACAGGGGGAUAACAGUCAGAAAUGACUGCUAAUACCGCAUAAGACCACAGCACCGCAUGGUGCAGGGGUAAAACUCCGGUAGGUACAGGAUGGACCCGCGU